This 520-nucleotide ribosomal RNA is filed under the name uncultured Glomus. RNAcentral's name for it is "SSU rRNA". It matches the Rfam family "Eukaryotic small subunit ribosomal RNA", at positions 569 to 1092 of the family's 1831-position model. The record is from RNAcentral. Lineage: Eukaryota; Fungi; Glomeromycota; Glomeromycetes; Glomerales; Glomeraceae.
AGCAGCCGCGGUAAUUCCAGCUCCAAUAGCGUAUAUUAAAGUUGUUGCAGUUAAAAAGCUCGUAGUUGAAUUUCGGGAUCAAUACGUCGGUCGUGCUUCGGUACGUACUGGCGUAAUUGAUUUCUCCCUUCUGACGAACCAUGAUGUCAUUAACUUGGUGUCAUGGGAAAUCAGGACUGUUACUUUGAAAAAAUUAGAGUGUUUAAAGCAGGCUCACGCUUGAAUACAUUAACAUGGAAUAAUGAAAUAGGACGUUCGAUCCUAUUUUGUUGGUUUUAGGAUCAACGUAAUGAUUAAUAGGGUAGUUGGGGGCAUUAGUAUUCAAUUGUCAGAGGUGAAAUUCUUGGAUUUAUUGAAGACUAACUACUGCGAAAGCAUUUGCCAAGGAUGUUUUCAUUAAUCAAGAACGAAAGUUAGGGGAUCGAAGACGAUCAGAUACCGUCGUAGUCUUAACCAUAAACUAUGCCGACUAGGGAUUCGGAUGAUGUUAAUUUUUUAAUGACUCAUUCGGCGCCUUACG